This 582-nucleotide small RNA is filed under the name Pongo abelii (Sumatran orangutan). RNAcentral's name for it is "retained intron". The record is from RNAcentral. Lineage: Eukaryota; Metazoa; Chordata; Mammalia; Primates; Hominidae.
ACAAAUGACCAUUUUCAGUUUCUUGGCAGUACAGAAGUGGAACAGCCAAAAGGAACAGAAGUUGUGAGAGAUGCUGUAAGGAAACUAAAGUUUGCAAGACAUAUCAAGAAAUCUGAAGGCCAGAAAAUUCCUAAAGUGGAGUUGCAAAUAUCAAUUUAUGGAGUAAAAAUUCUAGAACCCAAAACAAAGGAAGUUCAACACAAUUGCCAGCUUCAUAGAAUAUCUUUUUGUGCAGAUGAUAAAACUGACAAGAGGAUAUUCACUUUCAUAUGCAAAGAUUCUGAGUCAAAUAAACAUUUGUGCUAUGUAUUUGACAGCGAAAAGUGUGCUGAAGAGAUCACUUUAACAAUUGGCCAAGCAUUUGACCUGGCAUACAGGAAAUUUCUAGAAUCAGGAGGAAAAGAUGUUGAAACAAGAAAACAGAUCGCAGGGUUACAAAAAAGAAUCCAAGACUUAGAAACAGAAAAUAUGGAACUUAAAAAUAAAGUACAAGAUUUGGAAAACCAACUGAGAAUAACUCAAGUAUCAACACCUCCAGCAGGCAGUAUGACACCUAAGUCGCCCUCCACUGACAUCUUUGAU